AGUGAGAUAAACUAAGUUAAGCUACUGGGCCCAUACCCCAGACAUGUAGGAUAAUACCUGCUCUCGCUA
RNAcentral lists this transfer RNA (69 nucleotides) under Asterorhombus intermedius (intermediate flounder). RNAcentral describes it as "tRNA-Met". The record is from RNAcentral. Lineage: Eukaryota; Metazoa; Chordata; Actinopteri; Pleuronectiformes; Bothidae.